GUACCUUAAACACAGUCGGUAAUGUGUAUCAACUGAGAACCAGCGCCCGACUGAAUCAAAUUUACCGACUUGAUAUUUUCUACGUUAUCGUCUGGGUAGUUUUCGUAUUCCCGGCCAAUUGAGAAUUGAGGUCAGAAAAAAAUGAGCAUCUCAAGAUUCAUAAAAAUUCGAAGGUACAUCAAGUACGAAUGCGACUUUCCGGUUUUUAUCAAUCAAAUUACUAUCAUCAGUGUGGUAUCUUCUGUCGCAUUUUUCCGAUCUCAUUAGUGCUGAGAAUGCGGAGGAAUUGACUCGUGAAAAUCGAGAUCUGGAACCAGAUGCAGUUGCGGACAGUGAGAGGCUUUUGUCAAGCCUGGGCGACGGAACUUCGUCAGCUUCGUUAAGUCAGGGACAACGAUCCAUUUUCACCCGGACCAUCUCCAUGGCCAAGGCUAAUCUCCCGGUGACAAGGUGGAAGUCGCAGCGGGGUUUCAAAAACGAAACAACCAACAAGAACAGAGGCAAGAAGAAUAAAAUACCGGUAGCGAUGCAGCCUCCCGAACGCCUUGACCUUGUGAAGUUGCCGCCAGAUAGACUGAAUACGGAGUGCGUUAUUGUCCCCCAGCAAGGUGAAAAAUCUCAGGGGAAGAAGGGUAAAUAAUAAAGUGGACGGCAUUAAACAGCUGUUUUACUGCAAAUUAAGGGAAAAAAUAACUCUCAAAUAUCGGGCAUUAUGCUGUACGAUGACGGAGACGUGGUUUAUUGUUCAAAAUACCGGUUUACACCUGCAUAGAAGAGAUAUUUUUCUAGCGAAGGCGGCAUGAUCGAUUAAAUUUAUCUCUGUACAGACCUUGUUUACGAUCUCGGCAUGUGGAAUUUACAGUGAACGAGAAACGUCUGACAUCGCCUUGAAGUAUUCCCAGCAUGGAAAAACAAGAAGGCGACAAAGUUAAUCGUCGAACAAGUUUGUUUUUUUCUGAUUCAAUAUAAGUAUUACGUCUGAGAACAAAACUUAGUAUUUGGGAGUUUCCAAAUUUUUAUGUACAAACGAAUAAACCAUCCCCAAUAUUAAAA
RNAcentral lists this unclassified non-coding RNA (1053 nucleotides) under Neodiprion pinetum (white pine sawfly). Its description in RNAcentral is "uncharacterized LOC124215018, transcript variant X2". Lineage: Eukaryota; Metazoa; Arthropoda; Insecta; Hymenoptera; Diprionidae. The record is from RNAcentral.